RNAcentral lists this ribosomal RNA (373 nucleotides) under uncultured organism. Its description in RNAcentral is "partial 16S ribosomal RNA". It matches the Rfam family "Bacterial small subunit ribosomal RNA", at positions 527 to 896 of the family's 1533-position model. The record is from RNAcentral.
GUAGGUGGCAAGCGUUGUCCGGAAUUAUUGGGCGUAAAGCGCGCGCAGGCGGUUCUUUAAGUCUGAUGUGAAAGCCCACGGCUCAACCGUGGAGGGUCAUUGGAAACUGGAGAACUUGAGUACAGAAGAGGAAAGCGGAAUUCCACGUGUAGCGGUGAAAUGCGUAGAGAUGUGGAGGAACACCAGUGGCGAAGGCGGCUUUCUGGUCUGUAACUGACGCUGAGGCGCGAAAGCGUGGGGAGCAAACAGGGAUUAGAUACCCUGGUAGUCCACGCCGUAAACGAUGAGUGCUAAGUGUUAGGGGGGUUUCCGCCCCCUUAGUGCUGCAGCUAACGUAUUAAGCACUCCGCCUGGGGAUACGGCCGCAAGGCUG